RNAcentral lists this unclassified non-coding RNA (349 nucleotides) under Melitaea cinxia (Glanville fritillary). RNAcentral's name for it is "misc RNA ENSMCXG00005013811.1". Lineage: Eukaryota; Metazoa; Arthropoda; Insecta; Lepidoptera; Nymphalidae. The record is from RNAcentral.
CACAAACAAGAAAUUUACAAGGAUACGUUGACUAUAUAAAUCAAUUGCCACUCACCGAUACACCGGAAGUGUUCGGUUUGCAUGGUAACGCUGAUAUUACUUAUCAGAUUAACAGUGCAAAAGAUAUUUUAGACACUAUAUUAAGUGUCCAGCCUAAAGAAGGUGGUAGUCAAGGCGGAGAAACUAGAGAAAGCAUAGUGUAUCGCUUGGCUGAGGAUAUGUUAGAAAAAUUACCAAAACAAUAUGUUAGUUUUGAAGUUAGGGAUGCGCUUCAUAAGAUGGGCGCUUUUCUACCAAUGAAUAUCUUCUUGAGACAAGAAAUUGAUCGUAUUCAACGAGUGAUUAAAAC